UCAAGUACCCGGACACACGCACGAGCGCAGAACAAAGGGCCGGACAUGCUCCAGCCCGCUCCGCCUGCGCCUCGGCCUUGAGCGCGGGGGCCCGGGUUACCUGCGCAGAGCCAGCUGUGAUGUAAAGAAGUUUGUGCUGCAUGAGAGAGAUAGCACCUGAAGAAAAUGAGGCCCUGGAGGAUGAGAGACUCUAAAGGAAAAGGGAAGGGCCUGCUGUCUUCCAGCCACACCAGCCCCCAACUGAGAAGCUGGUGCCCUUGGUGUGGUGGAAGCAAGGUGCCAUGUGAUAAGUAAGCCUCCAGAGAGGCCUGCGUGGCAGGAUCCAGUGUCUCUAGCCAACAGCAUAUGGGGACCUGAGACCUGCCAACACCCUUGUGAGUGAGCCUGGAAGUGGACCUCCUGCUCUUGAACCUUGAGGUGACUAUAGUGCUGGCUGACACCUUGACUGCAGUCCCUGAGCUGGGGGGCCCAGCUGAUCUACUCCCAGAAUCCCCCCUACUAAAACAGUGAUAUAAUAAAUGCUUAUUGUUUCAAGCUGGUAA
Gorilla gorilla gorilla (western lowland gorilla) is the source of this 542-nucleotide long non-coding RNA. RefSeq lists it as uncharacterized. The transcript has 3 exons. Lineage: Eukaryota; Metazoa; Chordata; Mammalia; Primates; Hominidae. The record is from RefSeq and is a predicted model, not a curated record.